Molecule: transfer RNA, 73 nt
Filed under: Candidatus Blackburnbacteria bacterium RIFCSPHIGHO2_01_FULL_40_17
Lineage: Bacteria; Candidatus Blackburniibacteriota
Also listed under: 4 other names
Description: tRNA-Met
Rfam family: tRNA
About the family: Transfer RNA (tRNA) molecules are approximately 80 nucleotides in length. Their secondary structure includes four short double-helical elements and three loops (D, anti-codon, and T loops).
Source: RNAcentral
GGCUGGGUAGCUCAGUUGGUAGAGCACCGGAUUCAUAAACCGGCGAUCGUGGGUUCGACCCCCACCCCAGCUA